UACGUAGGGUGCGAGCGUUGUCCGGAAUUAUUGGGCGUAAAGAGCGCGUAGGCGGCUAGAUAAGUCCGGUGUGAAAGUCACAGGCUCAACCUGUGAAUGCCGCUGGAAACUGUCUGGCUAGAGUCCGGAAGGGGCGAGUGGAAUUCCUGGUGUAGCGGUGAAAUGCGCAGAUAUCAGGAGGAACACCAAUGGCGAAGGCAGCUCGCUGGGACGGUACUGACGCUGAGGCGCGAAAGCGUGGGGAGCAAACAGG
RNAcentral lists this ribosomal RNA (253 nucleotides) under uncultured bacterium. RNAcentral describes it as "partial 16S ribosomal RNA". It matches the Rfam family "Bacterial small subunit ribosomal RNA", at positions 524 to 776 of the family's 1533-position model. The record is from RNAcentral.